AUGACAUCCACUCACGAAAGAAUCUCUUUUGGCUGAUGGGAAAUAUCCUCCAAAUGAUUAGACUUCGCUGCUCAUAUUUUUCAUCCUUUCAGCUCAGAGAUGACCAUUGAUUCUACUCAAGGUCGUUUGCUCAUUAAAGAUAAAGAAAACGCUUGUCUCUCCCCAUGGGCACAGUGUUCCUGUUUGUUAAUGGCCUUGAUUUAUGAUGCCAUAUGAAUGGUAGCAGUGAAAUAAAUGCUUUCAGCAACAUUCAUGGAACCUAAAACAGAACCAAUUCAAAGGAUCUCAUCCUGGAGAGAAAAUUCUUGACUUUCACUGUGGUCCAACUUCUCAUAUUGGCUACCAAGAAUAUUAUAUUAAAAACUGAAUAAAACUCAAUUAGGAAAGCUGAAUUUAAUUAACUCUUUGCAACUGCCUCUCCUAUAGCAAUAGCAAAAGCACUUAAAUUUAUAUACCGCUUCAUAGUGCUUUACAGCCCUCUCUAAGCGGUUUACAGAGUCAGCAUGUUGCCCCCAACAAUCUGGGCCCUCAUUUUACUUACCUCGGAAGGAUGGAAGGCUGAGUCAACCUUGGAGUCAACUAUAGAAUCGGGUUAUGUGAUCUUAGGACAUCGACCAGCUCAAUUCAGAAGAGAAAAUACAUCAAUUCUUCUUGAGUCCCCCUAAUGCAAAGAGAGAAGGAAUGGACCUACCAAAAUGAAGGGCAGGGUUGAAUAGUCAGAGUUGAAGAAGCUUCCGGGAGGAGAAGCGAAAUAUCUUCAAAGAAAAACAAGAAAGUCCUGUUGCCUCUUGAAAAAGCGGAUAAACAUGACCUGGAUGACUGAGAAUCUCCAUAGACAAAUCCAUUUUGUGCUAGAUCAUUAUGACUAGGGAUUCUAAUAAUGGCCAGGACUUCUCCAUUAUUCCCCAAAGAAAAAAUAUACUUUUUAAGAUGCUUAAGAUGUCUGAAAUUGUCUUAAGUGUUUUUAUUGAAUGUAAAUUUAUAUUCAAAUACUGAGACUCUUAAAGACAGCCAAUUU
This is a long non-coding RNA of Ahaetulla prasina, 1018 nucleotides long. RefSeq lists it as uncharacterized. NCBI's taxonomy places the organism in Eukaryota, Metazoa, Chordata, Lepidosauria, Squamata, Colubridae. The transcript has 3 exons. The record is from RefSeq and is a predicted model, not a curated record.